This 387-nucleotide ribosomal RNA is filed under the name uncultured bacterium. Its description in RNAcentral is "bacterial SSU rRNA". It matches the Rfam family "Bacterial small subunit ribosomal RNA", at positions 30 to 420 of the family's 1533-position model. The record is from RNAcentral.
AUUGAACGCUGGCGGCAUGCCUAACACAUGCAAGUCGAACGGUAACAGGCCUUCGGGCGCUGACGAGUGGCGGACGGGUGAGUAAUACGUAGGAAUCUGCCUUUUAGUGGGGGAUAACUCGGAGAAAUCCGGGCUAAUACCGCAUACGCACUACGGUGGAAAGCAGGGGAUCGCAAGACCUUGCGCUAAUAGAUGAGCCUACGUCGGAUUAGCUUGUUGGUAGGGUAAUGGCCACCAAGGCGACGAUCCGUAGCUGGUCUGAGAGGACGACCAGCCACACUGGGACUGAGACACGGCCCAGACUCCUACGGGAGGCAGCAGUGGGGAAUAUUGGACAAUGGGGGCAACCCUGAUCCAGCAAUGCCGCGUGUGUGAAGAAGGCCUCGG